CGAUCGACUCCUCCUUUAAACUUCAAAGUACGUACUCUUGGCAUGCAUGCGCUUGAUUUUCAUGAUCAUCAAGGAGGUGUAGUGAUGAAUUUGGCUGCUACUUUGUGGCCCCUAUGGCUUGGACCUGAAGGGGGUACUAGUCUGCGGCCUUUAAACUCAUCGAGCAUAUCAACAAGAGCAUGUUUAUCCACACGUUCAUCAACUUUGCUUUCGUAAUUAUACGGAACAUGAACGUGUG
RNAcentral lists this long non-coding RNA (238 nucleotides) under Panax ginseng (ginseng). RNAcentral's name for it is "long non-coding RNA (PGIN_LNC015282)". The record is from RNAcentral. Lineage: Eukaryota; Viridiplantae; Streptophyta; Magnoliopsida; Apiales; Araliaceae.